AAGUCGGAUGGAACUUGCAUCCAUAAGGAAUGCACGGAUCAUUUGUGGCAUCGAGUUAUGCGGAUGGCACUGGAACACAAAUAGUAAUAAUAUAUAGCAGAACAAUAUAGAGGAAUACUCCGGUGAUGUGUGGCAUCAAAACAUGUUGAGCUUCCAUUUUCUCGUGCAGCAGACCCUCGCUCCUCAAGAUCAUCUCGUUAUAAAUAGGGCCAGUGUUGGCAUCGUCUUUGGUGAGGUUGUCCAUCACAUGUAGCGAGAUCCAUCAUCAUGAGGCGUCUGGAUAAAUCGUCGAGAAAUUCUUUCUUUAUUGAGGAAUGAAUAUUAUAUCGAAUAUAUACAAAUACAA
Drosophila persimilis is the source of this 346-nucleotide long non-coding RNA. RefSeq lists it as uncharacterized. NCBI's taxonomy places the organism in Eukaryota, Metazoa, Arthropoda, Insecta, Diptera, Drosophilidae. The transcript is spliced from 2 exons. The record is from RefSeq and is a predicted model, not a curated record.